RNAcentral lists this ribosomal RNA (495 nucleotides) under uncultured bacterium. RNAcentral describes it as "partial 16S ribosomal RNA". It matches the Rfam family "Bacterial small subunit ribosomal RNA", at positions 28 to 507 of the family's 1533-position model. The record is from RNAcentral.
GACGAACGCUGGCGGCGUGCCUAAUACAUGCAAGUAGAACGCUGAAGGAGGAGCUUGCUUCUCCGGAUGAGUUGCGAACGGGUGAGUAACGCGUAGGUAACCUGCCUGGUAGCGGGGGAUAACUAUUGGAAACGAUAGCUAAUACCGCAUAACAGUAGAUGUUGCAUGACAUUUGCUUAAAAGGUGCAAUUGCACCACUACCAGAUGGACCUGCGUUGUAUUAGCUAGUUGGUGAGGUAACGGCUCACCAAGGCGACGAUACAUAGCCGACCUGAGAGGGUGAUCGGCCACACUGGGACUGAGACACGGCCCAGACUCCUACGGGAGGCAGCAGUAGGGAAUCUUCGGCAAUGGACGGAAGUCUGACCGAGCAACGCCGCGUGAGUGAAGAAGGGUGUCGGAUCGUAAAGCUCUGUUGUAAGAGAAGAACGAGUGUGAGAGUGGAAAGUUCACACUGUGACGGUAGCUUACCAGAAAGGGACGGCUAACUACGUG